This is a long non-coding RNA of Lytechinus variegatus (green sea urchin), 293 nucleotides long. RefSeq lists it as uncharacterized. NCBI's taxonomy places the organism in Eukaryota, Metazoa, Echinodermata, Echinoidea, Temnopleuroida, Toxopneustidae. The transcript is spliced from 4 exons. The record is from RefSeq and is a predicted model, not a curated record.
GAAAGAUUGUUUUUGUCAGAAUCAGACGCGUUCCCCUCACCGAGCUAAUCAUCGCAGAGCUAGUGGAGAUGAGAAUGCUUUACCCCAGAAUGCAAGAUCCAACUCAGAUCGUUUGAGUGAUGCUAGCUCAGCACGGUCUGGGAGUGGUUAUAUGUGUGACAGUGAAAGCGAUCAGGACACUCAUGUAAGUACACUACUUUAUGAUCUGAUAAGAGACAUAAAGAAAAGGGGAGGGAGUAGUUGCCAAGCUUCAAUGUUUAAAAAGAAAUAUAUCAUGUCCCUUGGGAAUCCCC